UACAGAGGUCUCAAGCGUUGUUCGGAUUCAUUGGGCGUAAAGGGUGCGUAGGCGGCGCGGUAAGUCCGCUGUGAAAGUCGGGGGCUCAACCCUCGAAUGCCGGUGGAUACUGUCGGGCUAGAGUGCGGAAGAGGCGAGUGGAAUUCCUGGUGUAGCGGUGAAAUGCGCAGAUAUCAGGAGGAACACCGAUUGCGAAGGCAGCUCGCUGGGACGUUACUGACGCUGAGACGCGAAAGCGUGGGGAGCAAACAGG
RNAcentral lists this ribosomal RNA (253 nucleotides) under uncultured bacterium. RNAcentral describes it as "partial 16S ribosomal RNA". It matches the Rfam family "Bacterial small subunit ribosomal RNA", at positions 524 to 776 of the family's 1533-position model. The record is from RNAcentral.